Molecule: ribosomal RNA, 392 nt
Filed under: uncultured bacterium
Lineage: Bacteria
Description: bacterial SSU rRNA
Rfam family: Bacterial small subunit ribosomal RNA
Source: RNAcentral
GACGAACGCUGGCGGCGUGCUUAACACAUGCAAGUCGAGCGGUAAGGCCCUUUCGGGGGUACGACGAGCGGCGAACGGGUGAGUAACACGUGGGUGACCUGCCCUUAGCUCUGGGAUAAGCCUGGGAAACUGGGUCUAAUACCGGAUAUGACUCCAUGACGCAUGUUGUGGGGUGGAAAGCCUUGUGCGGCUAGGGAUGGGCCUGCGGCCUAUCAGCUUGUUGGUGGGGUGANGGCCUACCAAGGCGACGACGGGUAGCCGGCCUGAGAGGGCGACCGGCCACACUGGGACUGAGACACGGCCCAGACUCCUACGGGAGGCAGCAGUGGGGAAUCUUGCGCAAUGGGCGAAAGCCUGACGCAGCGACGCCGCGUGGGGAGUGACGGCCUCGG